AAAUAAAUAUCUAAAUUUAAGAGUAUAUCAUUUACAAUGAUAAGAUGUUAUAUAUUAACUUUAUUUA
Molecule: transfer RNA, 67 nt
Filed under: Appendiseta robiniae
Lineage: Eukaryota; Metazoa; Arthropoda; Insecta; Hemiptera; Aphididae
Description: tRNA-Val
Source: RNAcentral